GGUUCGGGAGCCAGCUGACGGGACAGCUGGCAUGAAUGGAACCUUCCCCCCUAUGCCCAAGCGGCGCGCUCCUGUGGCCCGACAGGACGUGUG
This 93-nucleotide non-coding RNA is filed under the name unclassified sequences. Its description in RNAcentral is "Rhodo-rpoB RNA". It matches the Rfam family "Rhodo-rpoB RNA". The record is from RNAcentral.